GUCUGCUUAUUCGACGUGCAUCGCAGUAUACCGUAGUAAAGCAUGUCAUAUGCCCGCUGACUGAAUGAAAAUAUACAAGUCUGAUUCAUGGAAUCACCGGAUGACUUUGAACCUGCCAAAGCGGUAGCUGCGAUCGGUCACUUUUUGCAGUAUAGCGCUUCUGACUAAGCAAGCCUAGUACAGCAGUAUUGGGAAGUACCGUAUAGAACUUUGCAUGUUCUUUAAGUUCGAUAAGAUCGGCAUUUGGGACACGUUACCAUGCGUCACGAGUAUAUUGGGAGCGAAGUUCAGCAUCAUCAACCAAGUUCAUUCGUCGCUUCGAUUGGACGUCCUGUUAAAUGGAUUAACUAUUCUUGCAGGAAACUAGACGACCGUGGGAAAACACUUGAGGCUUUUAUUGCAGAAAAAUUGGGCCUUUUGUAUAGGAGCAUUAUACGCAUGGGAUGAAUCGUCAAAUGUAGGUAGAUUUCUUAGAGCAUGCAAUACGCUUUCUGUCUGUUAUGUAAUUUUUAGUAGUAGAUCAUCAUGCCACAGGUCAAAUUAUCUCACGCCUAUCGAACACAGGUUUGUAAAAAUCAUCCUUUGUUGUUUUGCGGAAAUUCUCUUUUUUCAAGCACUUUUUGACAUAUGCUACUAAGUCAACUGAUUUUAUCAAGUUAAGUCACAUCAACAGUGCGCUGCCUAUGAUUCUCUUGGGAACGUUUCGAUUUCAAGGUAAUCUAGGACGAACGAUGCCAUCUAUCUCAUGUGUGGGAAAUUUAGUGGAGAUAUCCACACCGUAAUAAAGCAGCGUAACGAGUGAGGCCCGAUAGAAUGCCGAAUAUACAAAUGUAGUUAGAGGACUCGAAUUUCUUUCAGCAGUGAUCGUCUCGGGUGUUGGCGUGGUAUGCUGACAGCUGAUUUUACAUCGGCCUAUACUGGCCAACUAAUGACUGCGUGAAAUCUAAAAGAGCUUCGGUUUUGUAUACCAGCGUCGUCAUACUCUAAACUAGGACUCGUUUCGCCGAUGCUCGGCUGUUGAUUCUUCUAUUGAUGCUGCCAGUGCCCUGAAUCUGUUAGCUGUCAAGGGAUUUGCUCCGCGACAGUAUUCUCAGAGAUUGAGAAAUUUUCCGUCAUAACACCUCCAUCAGUAACGCGCUACUUUCACGCUACAGUUGCUAUCGUUGUCGUUCGUUUCAGUUCUGGUUGCUCCCGUUCUUCGAAAAACGGGAUACCCCGCAUACUCCCCUCCAUAGCAAAAGUGCCCCUGCCCGGCUGUCCCCCGCCCGCUGCUGACAAACAGACUUCCAGCUUUUGUUCCUUUUAUCUAGGUUGAAUGUGAAAGAAAAACUGAGACUGGUCCAGUGCUGAGAAGAGCUCGGCUUCUGCACUACUCGUUUCCAUCCGCAGGAACAUCUGCACAAAUUGUCACCUUCUCUUGGAGUCCUCGGUGCCAUCAUCACUGCCGGCUGUUGCGGCGGCGUCGCCGUACGUUUUGUACGGCUCGGGGCCGGAUUGAGCCUUCGGCGUGCAGGCAGGCUCUAGUUGGUGGCAGACCACGAUGAUUCCAUUUCGUCAGGUCCUUAUCAUAUCGUCUGCUGUUGUUGUUACUGCAACUGCUUAAGACGUUGGAGGGAGCCUGUGGCUGUUGCCCUCAUUUCAAAUGUUGCAGCCGUUACGCUCAUUGGCAUCUUGGCCAUGUUUGCCACAACGGCGACAAAGCCAGUUAUCAUUGUAUUUGUUGUAUCCGGUCGUCGUGAAACUGAGCGAUCGAAGCUGUCCUCGGACCAACAUGGAAAUGUGUUUUCCGCCUGUCUGGUAUUACCAAUUCAAUUCCUGUUGUAGAAAUUUCGCGACUGUCAAUUUUAAAUAACUGCUAGCAUAUAAAAUACACCUGUGCUGACAGGCAUCAGAUAUGGGAGGGUUUCAGGUAAAUAUCCACGAUUGGAUUUAGCAGAUCCGAGCAGUAGUAUCUUGUAUUGACAGAACACCUUAGGAGAAGGGGCCUAAAAGGCAAAACAUAAACCAACAUAAAACUAGCAACUUUGCGGGACAAAUCGAAAUAGAAUCUUACACCAUUUGCUACGGUAGUAUAUAUGAUAGUGUUGUAAAUAGGUGUUACGAGAGAAAACUUUGUUAUACACACAUAAUGUUAGAUACACAUAUUAUAUGGCAUAAGCGGAAAGACAGUUAAUUUUUAUUUCUAAUAGUGAACAUCUGUUUCAAUAGUCAAUGUACUUUGUGUUGAAAAAAAUAUUUUUAUUAGCAGACGAUUAACGGUUGAUUUAAAACGUCGCAGCAUCUCCUAACGUGCGGUACAUAAACCUGAUUCACACGCAUCAUUUUUUAUUCUCGACUAUGAGCAUACGGUGGCAGCUAUAGACCUAGAACAAAAAUAGUUUCAACCUAAGCACAUGGCCUAAAAACCUGUAGGUUUUGAUAUUAUCGAACCCUGAAAGAACAACGGCUCAUAACUAAAUAUGUAGCGUGGCUAAGCACACAUGCCAGUAUGCAAAUGUGAUGCGUCGCGUUUGUGUCCUUGACUUGUCAGCUACCCGGUGCUACUGUUACUGCCUAAAAUAGAAAUACUUUGAAGAUACGGUCCAGUUGCAGUUCAGACAGACGAAAGCUGUUGAAGGCCUACGAUAAUGACUUCGUACGCAUGCGAAAGGUCGCUCAUGUGCUUAGAUCCCAGAAUAAUCUUAGAAACGUUGAAAUCGUGUGGAAAUAUAAUUCAUCAUCAUAUAGACUGCAACGCUCGGUUUUUUUUUAAUAACCGUCUGUUAAAGAUUGCCACUUUUAGCAGUGCUGUAAAAAAUUGUAAAACAGAUAAUGCAACCGAAUCUAUAGCCUGUGAUAACCAAAGCAAACGGAAAUUUCGUCUGAGAAUUUUUUUAUGUUAAGACAUACAACUCAAUGUCGACGAUCGGCGAUCUAUCCUGUUGUUAUAUUCAAAGGGCUCCUAUCGUUAAAUUCAUUUAACUCGAAUAUCGAUUAGCAGUACCUGCAUGGCCUAUGUAUGCUUGAUAUACCACUAUACAGUAGGAUAAAGAGAAAAGCAGCGCUUCCCAACUCAGUGUUUUUUUGCCAUCAUGUAGCAUGUAUAUGCACGCCGCUUCGACCUAUCAGGAUAGGCGGCCUACACAUACCUCCAUAGUAAUAUGUUGGGCCUGCAACACCCGAUAGAAAUUUCCCCUUGCGAACGACGAGGUUUUCGGCGUCGCCACACCAACUUCCGAGUCUUCUGUUGCCGUAGGUAGUCAGCAUAGCAUAAUGUGAAAGUGGACGGUAUUCUUCUUGGGUGAAUACAGCAUUUACCUAUACUGAAGGCGGAUUUGAAGGCAAACUAGAUUCCAACAGUCUCCAGGACUGCGUCAGCUCGCUGUGAUAGCAAACAGUGAAGAGUAACGAUGAUACAUUGAAUUAUCGAAGAAAAUAGGUUUGUAAAUAAAUAAACAGGAGCAACAAAUGCAAGACCGAUUAAUGAACGUAAAUUAUAGACGCCUAAACCUCGCGAGAGAGAAAAACUUAACUGUAGGAGAUUGCAAGCAUGGGAGUUAUUUCUAGUUGAGUAAUCUAGUUAUGAAAAAGAAGUCGUUGGCCUAUGUUAUAAAUUAUAUGUGGCUCAGAUUGUAUGGUCAUGUGGAAUCUUAUCAUACUUCUAUACGUCAGUAUAGAGUUGGGAACUUCUUGAUAUAACUUCUUGUGCAGUUGAAAUUCUACACUAAUACCUAAGGGUCUCUCUGAUAUGACUUCACACCUCAAACAUGAUACGCAGCAUUUGGCCAAGACCAUUUCUAAGAUUCCUAUGGCAAGCCGAAUAGACCAGUGAUUGGUAAAAAGGUCGAUGUCUGAGUACGCGUGCACAGCUAUGACUACAAUCGCGAGCGUCUCCCUCAACGAGAUUCAUAUCGGGAAAAUAUAUCCUACCCUUUGUAGACCAUAUGCAGUAUUUUCACCCGUACUUGCGCACCUAUAUGAAUAUCAGAAAAAAAGAGAGAAUUUAUGAGACACUUCCCUGCACUUCUUCAAGUUCAUAGAGCCCCAGCGCUAUUCAGUAUUCGCAGCCUCCUCAGCCAAGCAAAUCACUUCUCCAAACGCACUCGGUACCAAGAAGAACUGCUAGGUCAUUCAAACAGAGCAGGCGUUUGGCGGCAUUUGUUCCAGCUUACAAACACAGAUAGGACGUUACGUGGUCCUACUAAAUAUCUCUACCACUUGCGCGGUUACAGCCUUUAGCAGCGAGAACUCAGGAUGUACACGCAGAAAAAAGAAACAUCGCGAGAAAGAUCCUUGCUUCUCGGGCCGUACCAUCGUCCAUCUCGUAAAUACGUACGCGUCUGGCCCGUUUUUCUUCUUUGUACUGUCCCGUACGUCCGGAGAGAUCCUCUGACGUAUAACCGAGAAAGGAAAAGGUAAGUGAAAGAAGAUAAAAAAGGGAAAAGAGACGAGAAAAACGAACGAGGUUUUUGCUGAGGCGCGAUUUUUCUCAUCUCGUACAGAAAGGUGAACAGAAAAAACAAAACACCUUGCCAGAUUCGGGGGGCGCUCUACAGCGAAUGCGCACUGCCGCUGCUCUGCAACACCGCUUAUUAUUGUACCUGUGGGUGUCCGUGCCUCAAUGAGUGACUUCGUAUUGAUUUAUAAUUCGGCAUAUAUCGGGUUAGAUAUUGAGUGUACGCAUCGUAUCGUAUAGGUUAUAGCAAGUGGAGGAAGGAGUCGACCGAAAACAUGGUUUUGAUUGUUGAUUGUUUGUAAAUGCGAUAAAUAUUGAUCGAUUCGAGUGUCACAAAGGCGCUUUACCUGCUCAUAUGUUACGUGAAAAUCUAGGUCACUGUAUAUAUAUAACACAAACGACGAUGUACAACGUAACUAUGUCUAAUAUUGUAUCUUUCAGUCGCAAUUGAAAAUAUUUGAAUAAUAUAUAUCUAUUAGUCGCAGCCUGUUUCACAUGCUUCAUUAUGUCCACAGUGAGUGCGCAGCUUUAGGUAGCGUAGACAGACGUACGUCUGUAUAAAAAAAAAAAAACAACUCAAUUUUUGGCUUAAUUGAAAAAUGAUACUUCUGUACCACCACCAAUUUUUUUCAGACGAAAAUCCCAUGUCACAGACUCAACGGGGUAAACGGUCAAUGGAGCUCAACGGGGUUUACGGUUAAGGAAGCGAAGUCCGUUAUAUAUGCAGAGCUUGCUAAACAUAUACGUCGAGUUGACGAGGUCUGUCAUUUUUUUCAGUCAACUGAUUUUGAUAUGUAACCACCUUACGGUGGUUACAUACCAAAAUCAGUUGUAGGCUAGAGUUCGUUGUUAGUUUGCGUCUCGUUUAAGUCUCGUGACGUGUUUAGGCAAGACGCCAAAGAAGGUUCCAGCGGCGUGUGAUUCCGUUGUACGCAGAAGUUAUAUAAAAUAAGUGGUCCAACAAACGUUCUACGUAGCCUUCGUCUACGUAGCCUACGUAGCCAUUUUAUAAAGAGGAAAUAUCUGAGUGUUCUAUUAGAUUAAUGUAAAAGAAACUCAAUCGACUGGGUUCUGUGAUACGAUUUUUGUUCGUCAAUUCGAGGUUCGAUGGCACAUUCGGAAUAGAGAUGAAGAUGCAAAGAGAAGGGCAUAUAGUGAACACGAUGGAGUAAUGCCCAAAAUGUUUAUUUAAUGUUAUGUUUUAAGCUGGUUUGCAAGUAAGUUAGUCAGGGGACUUGUCAGAAACUCGAAGGUCGAAGUUCACCAAAUAUCAUAAUGACUGAUAAUGUUAUUCUAGGUUCAAUUGCACUGUAUUUAGUAAUUGUGACACUUAAUUGUCCUAGAAUAAGGCUUAACGCCGCUAACAAAUAAUCGCAACUGUCACAUAAGUACGGCAGUGGUUUUCAAACUGAAAUACUACAAUUUAUGCCGUGUUUCGUGUAGACGUAUAAUAAAGGAAGAAAAGCUUUCCGCGACGCUUGGUUCGAAAAACGGAACACCGUUUUUUUACUUUCUUUAUCAGAAUUCGAUUAAGGCAGGUUCCACAUUUGGCACCGCUCACAGGCCUACCGCAGCUUCACCAGCGUGCACUCUCACUAUUAAGGAGUUCGAUUCGGGGGACCCGAAAAGUCGAGUCCAUAAGGUGUUGUUCGUCGGCCGUAGUCGUGCUAUCAGCCAGCAUUGGUCCGGGGCUAUCGCUGGCGCUUCAUGAGCUCAAAUUAACCAACGCUUACUGACUUAACAAGCAGUUGUAGGGCGACCGAAUGCUUCGAGUACACGCUGAUGUUACCGCUACUGCCGUAGAUAUGUGGAACGUUCUAGAAAAAAGAAGCUAAAUCUCUUUUGUCCCCAUUCUUAAAGCAAUCGAGCAACUCCCUGUCCGAAUCGCCCUCUCCAAUUUCCUGUCAUCCUGAAUCCUGCUGGGAGCGAUCGAAGCCGCAGGAGACACAGCGGUACCAGCCAGCGAUCCCGUUCCGCCUCUUCUUCGUCGUAGCCCUCUCAUUAUACAAGCGCAAGAUGAUUAUUCUACGUUCUACGUACUAUCAACGGCCAAUGAAGAAAUAAAUACGCGCUCGAUACACAACUUCUAUACGCACGAAAAAACGGUAUCGACAGGGGCGGUUAGUAUUGCCUGACAAUUAACAAUAUGACUGGACAUUUAUGCUUAAGCAAUAAGCUCAUGAUACUUAGAUGUUUAACGCUAACUGCUCGAAGAAAAUUCAGUCAGAUCAUUAAACGUAGUUUUUAAAGGGAAACACUGUGCCAAAGCGUGAGAGGUGGUGUUACUUUUGCUACGCUGAACAGGAGCGAAAGACGUCCUGCUGUUUUCAUGACAGCAGCAAGCGCUAUCAGAAGAAGCGUGAAAAUUGAAAGAUAAAUAUAUACACAUAUAUAGAUCUAAUUGUUGUUGAGAUAUUCUUUUCGUAUUAGAAAUUAAUUAGGGGGGCGAUCAGAUCUGAGCUGAUUAAUCCACUGAACUAUACAAACCGGAUAACAUACAAUUAUCGAUUCGCGUUGCAGUGUUAGAGUUAGUACAUAAUGACCACUGACUGCGUCUAAAGGUCUGCCAUCAAUUCUUAUCAUGACGCCAACCUGCCAAUAGAGCUACAAUCAACUUAAUUACAUUAUCGUAAAUGCCGAUUUAUGCUCUGUCAAGAU
This is a long non-coding RNA of Varroa destructor (honeybee mite), 7093 nucleotides long. RefSeq lists it as uncharacterized. NCBI's taxonomy places the organism in Eukaryota, Metazoa, Arthropoda, Arachnida, Mesostigmata, Varroidae. The record is from RefSeq and is a predicted model, not a curated record.